CCUACGGGAGGCAGCAGUGAGGAAUAUUGGUCAAUGGACGAGAGUCUGAACCAGCCAAGUAGCGUGAAGGAUGACUGCCCUAUGGGUUGUAAACUUCUUUUAUAUGGGAAUAAAAUGUUCCACGUGUGGGAUUUUGUAUGUACCAUAUGAAUAAGGAUCGGCUAACUCCGUGCCAGCAGCCGCGGUAAUACGGAGGAUCCGAGCGUUAUCCGGAUUUAUUGGGUUUAAAGGGAGCGUAGGUGGAUUGUUAAGUCAGUUGUGAAAGUUUGCGGCUCAACCGUAAAAUUGCAGUUGAAACUGGCAGUCUUGAGUACAGUAGAGGUGGGCGGAAUUCGUGGUGUAGCGGUGAAAUGCUUAGAUAUCACGAAGAACUCCGAUUGCGAAGGCAGUUCACUGGACUGCAACUGACACUGAGGCUCGAAAGUGUGGGUAUCAAACAGGAUUAGAUACGUGUGUAGUC
Molecule: ribosomal RNA, 460 nt
Filed under: uncultured bacterium
Lineage: Bacteria
Description: partial 16S ribosomal RNA
Rfam family: Bacterial small subunit ribosomal RNA
Source: RNAcentral